CACUGGUCGAGUGAUCCUGCGCCGAAGAUUUCCGGGGCUAAAACUUACUACCGAAGCUACGGCAUCAGUAAUGAUGGGUAGGGGAGCUUCCCAUACGGGUUGAAGCAUGACCGUAAGGACAUGUGGACAGUAUGGGAGUGAGAAUGUUGGCAUGAGUAGCGAGAUGUGGGUGAGAAUCCCACAGGCCGUAAACCCAAGGUUUCCAGGGGAAGGUUCGUCCGCCCUGGGUUAGUCGGGACCUAAGCUGAGGCCGAAAGGCGUAGGUGAUGGACAACAGGUUGAUAUUCCUGUACUACCGAUAACCGUUUGAGAGAAGGGAUGACACAGUAGGAUAAGCUAAGCACACUGUUGGUUAU
This 356-nucleotide ribosomal RNA is filed under the name Clostridioides difficile. Its description in RNAcentral is "partial 23S ribosomal RNA". It matches the Rfam family "Bacterial large subunit ribosomal RNA", at positions 1143 to 1505 of the family's 2925-position model. The record is from RNAcentral. Lineage: Bacteria; Bacillati; Bacillota; Clostridia; Peptostreptococcales; Peptostreptococcaceae.